RNAcentral lists this transfer RNA (83 nucleotides) under Felis catus (domestic cat). It matches the Rfam family "tRNA". Rfam says of the family: Transfer RNA (tRNA) molecules are approximately 80 nucleotides in length. Their secondary structure includes four short double-helical elements and three loops (D, anti-codon, and T loops). Lineage: Eukaryota; Metazoa; Chordata; Mammalia; Carnivora; Felidae. The record is from Rfam by way of RNAcentral.
GCCUGGGUGGCUCAGUCGGUUGAGCAUCUGACUUCGGCUCAGGUCAUGAUCUCACGGUGUGAGUUUGAGCCCCGUGUCGGGCU